AAGUAUAUUGGUGGAGAAACAGUGGAACCAAAACAAAAUCCCAUCAGGGCCCUGAUUCUGCUAUUCCGUUCAGUUCUCCUCUCUUUAGUUUUCCUGCUGAUUUCUGGUUUUGUGUGCUGUACUCCAAAUUACAGAGCACUCUGUAAACAACCUUGAACAAAAUAUUCCCAAGCAGAUUGUUGUAAAUUACACUAUUUCAAGUUUGUAUUGAGUGAGACUUUGCAUCUUUUGGUCUACUACAUCACCUAGAGCCAACAAUAGUUCGCCAAAGAAAAUUUGUUCAGAGAGUCUGGGUCGAGAAUACGCACUACAUGUCCACUCCUCGGCAGUUUUAAUUUAUUUAGAAAAAAAAUGAUUCUACCUGCUCGCCGCCUUAUAUAUGCUUAGCGUACUGGUUCUCUCUAGCACAGCAUUAUUAAGAAUUUUAUCUUCCCACUUGAUGGUGACAAGUUUUUGUAAGCGUAUCAGGCAGGCCUAUCGCCAGACAUUGGUGCCUGGGGGUACUUCAGAAUAUUCUAGGUGAACACUAAUUUGUAAUAAAGCCAAAGAGGGCUUUUGAAAUAGGUGUAUCACUGUAAAUCUGAGGGAGCACCAUUGAAUUGUAAGAGGGCAGUGCUGUCCAGUGCGGUCCAGUGCAACCCCUUAGCGACGGGCAUGUGAUGAAGUUUCUUGCAUGACCUUGGUAAACUGUUCAGAUAUCACAUCCGAAAGUAUCGUAGUCACUACAUCAGCUUUGUACACAUCAAACGUGGUCUUUCCCAAGCCUUGUGACGAUGACGUCCAAUGACACAGUUAACUUUUGCUAUCCUUGCGUUUAUUUCAUCAUCAAUGUGAGCACUCCUUGACAGUGUACUCUAAAGAUUAUAAUCUGGUGAUCUACGUUCUACUUACAACUGAGAGAUGUCGAGCAAGAUUCAAUGACUUGAACAAACUAAGGAUUCAUUACUAGGCAUUUGACUGCAGCCAUGCUGGAACACCGCCAUUAGUCGAGCAAAUCGACUCCAGGACUUAUUUUUUGAUGCGGUUUUUCGGAUGCGGUAUUUCAGGAUGCGGUAUUUCGGCCAGAUGUUAAAUGUCGGUGGUAUUUCAGGAUGCGGUAUUUCGACCAGAUGUAAAAUGUUGAAAAAUACAGUCUGUCUCAAAACCAGGCGAAACGAAUCGACUCGAAGGUGAGCGAGACGACUGGAAGAUAUCGAUAUUUUCGCUGUUAUUUCAGCUCGCCGGUUUCGAAUACGCGAGUCACAGUGGAAACGAAUUUAUAUCACUAUUCUGAGGUACGUACAGACAGCGUAAUAUUUAUCUGCUUGAUAUGCAAUAGCACCGAACAAGUGAAACAACAUUAAAUUUCCUGUUAGAAGUAGCUUUACUAAUGUAAACAAAAGAGGUUAGUUAGCCGCAAAAAAAGGUUUUAUUAAAACUCAU
Long non-coding RNA from Octopus bimaculoides (California two-spot octopus), 1422 nucleotides. The record is from RefSeq and is a predicted model, not a curated record. NCBI's taxonomy places the organism in Eukaryota, Metazoa, Mollusca, Cephalopoda, Octopoda, Octopodidae.